AAUCAACGCUGGCGGCGUGCCUCAGACAUGCAAGUCGAACGAUUAAAGCUCUCUUCGGAGAGUGUAUAGAGUGGCGCACGGGUGAGUAACACGUAAGUAAUCUACCUUCGAGUGGGGAAUAACGUCCGGAAACGGACGCUAAUACCGCAUAAUGCAGCGGCAUCGCAAGAUGACAGUUGUUAAAGAUUUAUCGCUUGAAGAGGAGCUUGCGGCAGAUAGCUAGUUGGUAAGGUAAUGGCUUACCAAGGCUACGAUCUGUAACCGGUCUAAGAGGACGGUCGGUCACACUGACACUGAAUAACGGGUCAGACUCCUACGGGAGGCAGCAGUCGGGAAUUUUGGGCAAUGGGCGAAAGCCUGACCCAGCAACGCCGCGUGAAGGAUGAAGUAUUUCGGUAU
Molecule: ribosomal RNA, 399 nt
Filed under: uncultured bacterium
Lineage: Bacteria
Description: bacterial SSU rRNA
Rfam family: Bacterial small subunit ribosomal RNA
Source: RNAcentral